Lagopus muta (rock ptarmigan) is the source of this 2219-nucleotide long non-coding RNA. RefSeq lists it as uncharacterized. Lineage: Eukaryota; Metazoa; Chordata; Aves; Galliformes; Phasianidae. The record is from RefSeq and is a predicted model, not a curated record. The transcript has 7 exons.
ACACAGGAUUUGGCAUCAGUGGCCAGGAGGGAAUAGAAACAGUUCUGGCCAAUGGCUUUGCCCAGCACUUCAGCAUCCUUAUUUAAAAAGGUGCCAGUACUUGUGUUAUUUCUUCCACGUAAUCUAUGCUUUCCCAUUUGUGGAUUUCUAGUUUAUCUUCUGUGAAUCCUCUGCUCAGCUACAAAUGUGAGACCAUGUGGGCUGGCUGUGGAAGACACUAUAAAAACUAACAGCGGAACGUUCAUCUGGAGAUGUUCUAUGUUAUUUAUGAAAACGUAGAGACCAAUCCUGCCACCUUCUCUCACGCUAACAAUCCUACUAAGGUGUACGCUGUAAAGACCCAGUUGUGGGAGUUACCAGGAAAAUGUAUGUGUUAUCACCCUGGUUUCCAAUGAAGAUUCAGUUUCCAGUGUUUCCCUUGAGACCUUCAGCCUCGCACUCUACUCUGAGAGUGUUUGUGCUGUGUGAAGACUGUGGUAGGGAGCAGAUAAGAUUUUGGUUGAAUUUCAUUAGGAGAGACAUGGGAACAGAAAGAGAUUAAUGGCUUACCCAAAGUGAAUUACAAAUGAGAUAAGGAGUUGUCUCAGAACUUUUGCUCCAGGUAAUUUCCUAAUUAUACAGAGAAUGUUGCACGUGUUCAAAUCACCUGCAGUUUUUCCUAUCUCUGCUUUCUCCUUAAAGCAGUGUUUAGAAGAGGAUAUCACACCUCUAAUCCAUUGGAUGUAAUGCUAAACAGGCUUGGAUGACUUCGUGCUACCUUCCAGGAAAGGAACUGUUUUUUUGCAGCUCCUUCUUACUCGUUUUGAGAAAAGGAUUAAAUCUUUCCUCUGACCAAGCAUACAGGCAUGCUAAAGUGAAGCCACUUCACGCUCCUAGCCAAACAAAGAACAAUAAUACCCACAAUAAGCAAAAGCAGAUGGCUUCAGUGGCAGGAAAUGAAUGAGCCAGACUGCAGGUAAAAUGGCUUUCUGAACACAUCUCAGAGGUUUGUAAUGACAGGUUCUUUGUUAUCUGGGGCCUCCCCACUGGAGGCCAGAUGUCUUCUGUUGUGAAAGGAGAUAGAUAGAGAUGCUCUUCCUUUUCCUCCCCCUUUAACUUAUGGCUGUUUAAGUUACUGCUAAUGGAAGAAGAAGCCUGUUUUUCCCCCUUGCUCUCUGAUGUUUUUGGAAAGAGAAGAGAUAGUUAGUGAAGGGGUAUUCUGAUAUGAAAGGAAAGGCCCAGAACUGGCCUUUACCUCCCAGUGACCUUCAUUUUAAAGAACAGGGAGGUCAGUGCUGCUAAUUGCACUUGAAAGGAUUAACCACUUGAUUGCUUUCAUUUGGUGGAAAAAAACUAUUCAUUAAUCUUAAAGUUGAAAAAAUGUAUCAGAGGUAUCAAGACAUUUUCAGUGUGAGGUUGAUGACCUAGAUGGUUUGGCUUAUACCAGUUCUGAAAUUAAAUAGAGGAUUACAAUCUUUUUGUAGAGGGGAGAGCAGAAGAUGGGGAAGUACAUCUGGUGCUCAGAACAGACUUGGAGCAGGAGUGAUAACAACCUCCUUUCUCUGUCCAUAUAGAAGGUUUUCACAGGAAUAUCAAUAUAUUAAUUAUGGAUAUUAGAUGUGCUUGUAUCACUUGGUGUGAGAAGAACCUCAGUGUAAUGCAAGAGUCUCAGUAGAUGAAAAAGAACUUGAACCAAUUCCUGGAUGCGGAUUCCAGACUUAAAAUCUUUUCUGCACAUUGUUUUCACUUGGGAAUUAAGAAUCUAUUUCAAAAGUAAAUUAAUUUUAAUUCCCAUUGCUCAAAUAAAGUGAGGUACAGAAAACUUAAAUUUGGAAGCCAUUUUUAACCUUAUGAAACUAUUUUCUGAAAGUACCAGAGCAGCUUAUAUAAGCUUUUAUCUGACCUCUACUUCUUAAAUAAAAAAACAUGUUUUCGGGGAAAUGUGUCUUGCAAGUACCUUCCCCUCCCCCCAAGUUUUUUCUCUCUGGUUCUUGUAAAACACUAGGUCAGCGGGUUCAUUUUAUUUCUGUUUGCUUGAAGUGAAUGAAAGUUUCCAUCUCAAAUUUGUGUGAUUUAAAAUCACUUCAAUGAUUUAAAAAAUAUUACGGCAAUCUUCAUAAAACAGAAACAGAUGAACGCGUCAAUAAACUAUCAGAAUUCAAACCAAAAGAGAUAGCAUUAAUCAUUGUAAAAAGCCCCAAUAACCUCUCAGUAGCGGUAAAAUGAAUAAGAAAUGCAUU